AGAGUUUGAUCAUGGCUCAGAUUGAACGCUGGCGGCAUGCCUAACACAUGCAAGUCGAACGAGAGCGGGGCAACUCGCUCUAGUGGCGGACGGGUGAGCAAUACGUAGGAACCUGCCCUGAAGUGGGGGAUAGCCCGGCGAAAGCCGGAUUAAUACCGCAUGAUCUCGAAAGAGCAAAGUGGGGGAUCGCAAGACCUCACGCUUUUGGAGGGGCCUACGUCGGAUUAGCUAGUUGGUGGGGUAACGGCCCACCAAGGCGACGAUCCGUAGCUGGUCUGAGAGGAUGAUCAGCCACACCGGAACUGAGACACGGUCCGGACUCCUACGGGAGGCAGCAGUGGGGAAUAUUGGACAAUGGGCGCAAGCCUGAUCCAGCAAUGCCGCGUGUGUGAAGAAGGCCUUCGGGUUGUAAAGCACUUUGGUCCGGGAAGAAAAAGCUCGGCCUAAUACGCCGAGCCUGGACGGUACCGGAGGAACAAGCACCG
Molecule: ribosomal RNA, 485 nt
Filed under: uncultured bacterium
Lineage: Bacteria
Description: bacterial SSU rRNA
Rfam family: Bacterial small subunit ribosomal RNA
Source: RNAcentral